GAGUGUAAGGUUGAUUACCAGAUGAGGUUCUGUAUAUAGUGAGUGUAAGGUUGAUUACCAGAUGAAGUUCUGUAUAUAGUGAGUGUAAGGUUGAUUACCAGAUGAGGUUCUGUGUAUAGUGAGUGUAAGGUUGAUUACCAGAUGAAGUUCUAUACAUAGUGAGUGUAAGGUUGAUUACCAGAUGAGGUUCUGUAUAUAGUGAGUGUAAGGUUGACUACCAGAUGAGGUUCUGUGUAUAGUGAGUGUAAGGUUGAUUACCAGAUGAGGGUCUGUAUAUAGUGAGUGUAAGGUUGAUUACCAGAUGAGGUUCUGUAUAUAGUGAGUGUAAGGUUGAUUACCAGAUGAGGU
Long non-coding RNA from Oncorhynchus keta (chum salmon), 348 nucleotides. RefSeq lists it as uncharacterized. The transcript is spliced from 5 exons. NCBI's taxonomy places the organism in Eukaryota, Metazoa, Chordata, Actinopteri, Salmoniformes, Salmonidae. The record is from RefSeq and is a predicted model, not a curated record.